UACGGAAGGCAGCAGUGGGGAAUAUUGCACAAUGGGCGAAAGCCUGAUGCAGCUAUGCCGCGUGUAUGAAGAAGGCCUUAGGGUUGUAAAGUACUUUCAUCGGGGAGGAAAAAACAAAACUAAUAAUUUUAUUUCUUGACGUUACCCGAAAAAGAAGCACCGGCUAACUCCGUGCCAGCAGCCGCGGUAAUACGGAGGGUGCUAGCGUUAAUCAGAAUUACUGGGCGUAAAGAGCACGUAGGUGGUUUUUUUAAGUCAGAUGUGAAAUCCCUGGGCUUAACCUAGGAACUGCAUUUUGAAACUGAAAUACUAGAGUAUCGUAGAGGGAGGUAGAAUUCUAGGUGUAGCGGUGAAAUGCGUAGAUAUCUGGAGGAAUACCUAUGGCGAAAGCGGCCUCCUAAACGAAUACUGACACUGAGGUGCGAAAGCGUGGGGAGCAAACAGGGAUUAGAUACC
RNAcentral lists this ribosomal RNA (456 nucleotides) under uncultured bacterium. Its description in RNAcentral is "bacterial SSU rRNA". It matches the Rfam family "Bacterial small subunit ribosomal RNA", at positions 340 to 786 of the family's 1533-position model. The record is from RNAcentral.